AUCCAAAUUGCGGCAGUAAACAUCUUUCCCUACUAGCGGGGAAUUCUGUCGGUCCAAAUUUUUGGGAGUUAUUGCUGGGCAUGGACGGUCGCGGCUGGUUAAGCGAUGAUCAUAUAUUUGGGUGGAUGAUCCACAUGUAUCAUUCAAGAAAUGAAAGUGAUCGGUGGAGUAUUCUACCCCCAUAUUUUCAAAAUUAUUUUCGGUACACGGCCGUCGACCAUACCUGUAAAGGUUACUUUACUGGGCAGGUUGACCCUUUUCCAUCAAUACAUACUGUUGACGAGGUUUACGUACCGUUGUAUAUAGAAGGUGCUCACUGGUUUUUAGGCGUUUUCAACCUUGUCAAUUACACGC
Molecule: long non-coding RNA, 354 nt
Organism: Helianthus annuus (common sunflower)
Lineage: Eukaryota; Viridiplantae; Streptophyta; Magnoliopsida; Asterales; Asteraceae
Exons: 3
Source: RefSeq, a predicted model, not a curated record